CCUACGGGAGGCUGCAGUGGGGAAUAUUGGGCAAUGGGCGCAAGCCUGACCCAGCGACGCCGCGUGAAGGAUGAAGGCUUUCGGGUUGUAAACUUCUUUUAAGAGGGAAGAGCAGAAGACGAUACCUCUUGAAUAAGCCACCGCUAAAUACGUGCGAGCAGCCGCUGUAAUACGUAGGUGGCAAGCGUUACCCGGAUUUACGGGGUGUAAAGGGCGUGCAGCCGGGAAGAUAAGUCAGAUGUGAAAGCCCGCGGCUCAACCGCGGAACUGCAUUUGAAACUGAUAGUCUUGUGUACCGGAGAGGUAAGCGGAAUUCCUUGUGUAGCGGGGAAAUGCGUAGAUAUUAGGAAGAACACCAGUGGCGAAGGCGGAUUACUGGACGGCAACUGACGGUGAGGCGCGAAAGCGUGGGGAGCAAACAGGAGUAGAUACCCCAGUAGUC
RNAcentral lists this ribosomal RNA (442 nucleotides) under uncultured bacterium. RNAcentral describes it as "partial 16S ribosomal RNA". It matches the Rfam family "Bacterial small subunit ribosomal RNA", at positions 338 to 795 of the family's 1533-position model. The record is from RNAcentral.